RNAcentral lists this ribosomal RNA (305 nucleotides) under uncultured bacterium. Its description in RNAcentral is "partial 16S ribosomal RNA". It matches the Rfam family "Bacterial small subunit ribosomal RNA", at positions 508 to 807 of the family's 1533-position model. The record is from RNAcentral.
ACAGCAGUCGCCGCGGGAAUACGGAGGGUGCAAGCGUUAAUCGGAAUUACUGGGCGUAAAGCGCACGCAGGCGGUCUGACAAGUCAGAUGUGAAAUCCCCGGGCUUAACCUGGGAACUGCAUUUGAAACUGUCAGGCUGGAGUCUUGUAGAGGGGGGUGGAAUUCCAGGUGUAGCGGUGAAAUGCGUAGAGAUCUGGAGGAAUACCGGUGGCGAAGGCGGCCCCCUGGACAAAGACUGACGCUCAGGUGCGAAAGCGUGGGGAGCAAACAGGAUUAGAUACCCGCGUAGUCCCUGUCUCUUAUAC